Molecule: ribosomal RNA, 429 nt
Filed under: Chloroflexota bacterium
Lineage: Bacteria; Bacillati; Chloroflexota
Description: Chloroflexi bacterium partial 16S ribosomal RNA
Rfam family: Bacterial small subunit ribosomal RNA
Source: RNAcentral
UAGGGAAUCUUCGGCAAUGGACGAAAGUCUGACCGAGCAACGCCGCGUGAGUGAAGAAGGUUUUCGGAUCGUAAAACUCUGUUGUUAGAGAAGAACAAGGACGUUAGUAACUGAACGUCCCCUGACGGUAUCUAACCAGAAAGCCACGGCUAACUACGUGCCAGCAGCCGCGGUAAUACGUAGGUGGCAAGCGUUGUCCGGAUUUAUUGGGCGUAAAGCGAGCGCAGGCGGUUUCUUAAGUCUGAUGUGAAAGCCCCCGACUCAACCGGGGAGGGUCAUUGGAAACUGGGGGACUUGAGUGCAGAAGAGGAGAGUGGAAUUCCAUGUGUAGCGGUGAAAUGCGUAGAUAUAUGGAGGAACACCAGUGGCGAAGGCGGCUCUCUGGUCUGUAACUGACGCUGAGGCUCGAAAGCGUGGGGAGCAAACAGG